GCCCCCAUAGCUCAGUUGGAUAGAGCGCCGGCCUCCGGAGCCGGAAGCACAGGUUCAAGUCCUGUUGGGGGUA
This 73-nucleotide transfer RNA is filed under the name bacterium. RNAcentral describes it as "tRNA-Arg". It matches the Rfam family "tRNA". Rfam says of the family: Transfer RNA (tRNA) molecules are approximately 80 nucleotides in length. The record is from RNAcentral.